CGUCGCGCAGCUCGGCCCCGCGGGGUCGCGGGGGUCGCGGGAGCGGCAUGGCGGCGCCGCGGAGGCGGGUGUUUGUUGAAAAAGUGCUGAAGAGACUUUUUCCUGAAGUUCCUCAUGGGCAAGAGAAGAGGGCGCCAGUGCCUGCAGCCUCGGAGAAACCAGCCGAGAACGUGGCUCAUGAGCAGGUGAAAGGCCAGGGCGUUCCCCCUUUCACAGGUGGCGACACCCAGACCCAGCCUGAAAGACGGCUCUACACCGUGAGUCUGCCUCCAGAGGGGUAUGUUCCCGCUCUGCCAGAGCCACACAGCUGCACAGAUGCCGAGAACUCCGCCAGCAGCGACGGCACGGGAGAUCAGGAUCCUCAUGAUCAACCAAAGAGAAGAAGAAUUAGAAAGCAUAAAUCAAAGAAAAAAUUUAAAAUUCUUAAUAAUGUUCAUGUAGAACAAGCAGAAUUAGAGAAACAAGAGAGUCUUUUACAAGAAAAAUCGCAGCCAUGGCACACAGAUGGCCCCACAAUCAGCAAAAAUAAAAAAAGGAAACUGAAAAAGAAACAGCAAAUUAGGAGGAAGAAAGCAGCUGGCUUACUAACAAAAGCCUCUGGUGUCAACUUCAUGUACCAGCCUGAGGAGAGCAACAGCGAGCAAGAAGACGUGAGAGAAUCCAGUGGGGAGGAAGUGCCAGCCGCCAGUGAGGAAGGCGCUACGGAGGCCAACGAGGAAGAUGUUAGAGACGCCAGUGAGGAAGGUGCUACAGAUGCCAAGGGGGAAGAUGGUAAAGGCACCAAGGAGGAAGGUGUCACAUGUGCUGAGGAGGAAGACGUUAAAAGUACCAAUGAAAAGGCAGAUAGUAUCCUAAACUUUUUGAAAUCAACAGAAGAAAUUUAUUUUUAUGAUGGUUUCUCCAAGGAUUCAGACCCAGCUGUCUUUAUGGAAACCACAGAGGAGCUAUUUAAACAUCUUGAGACUCACAGCCUGUCUCCCUCAGAUGUGUUCAUUCUGGAUCACAUGAAAACGCUGUUACUUUCACAAGAUACUGAAAGACUGAAGAGUGCCCUGGAGCUGUUCCCAGAACAUUGCAUGAUGCCGCCCGAGUGUGAGGGGAUCCUGGGACCAGAAGUGUGAGAACCGAGGCUUCAGACCCUUCUGGUCUAAGAUUACCGGGCUCCUUGCAGAAACGGCUGAUUCCAGACGUGGAGCCAGAAAAGUGCAAGGCGAGUCUGGAGUAUCUUGUUCGGGAAGCAAGUCAAUUCCUGACUCCUCCUUGAGUAGACAUUCAUUCCUUUAAUGCACACGAACUGAGCACCUUCCACUGUUCUGAGCGCUGAGGACACGUAGUGAAGGAAGCAGAGGAGGUCCCAGCCCCGAGAGGUGAGAUUCUGGGUGAACCUGUGGAAGAUGAGGCAUGUUCUGUGGCUGUGUGCAGAUUGUAGCUGAGUGUGGAAGGGGCAGAACGUAAAGGGAUGGUCUAGUGCUUAUGUUGUGUUCUAUUGUAAGUGAUUAUUUACUUAUUUACUACGUAUUUUACCUUUUACAAUGUUACCAUAUCAUUUCACUCUAAGAGCAUUGGAACACAUUUGUUUGUUUACUGUCAUACUUUCUAGUUGAUUAUUGAUGAUGUAGAUGAAUGAUACUGAUUUUUGUAAGCAGAUCUUGGAUCUGGCAACAUUCUCAAUCUCCUAUCAGUUCUAAAAGUGUAUUGAUCCUAUGGAGGGUUCCAUGUAGAUGAGCUUAUUAACUGCAGAUAAUAACAGUUUAUCACUUUCUUUCCAUCUUUAAUCUUAUUAUUUUAUUUUCAUGUCACACUUUUGGCCGGGACAUCGUGUGUUAUAUUGAACAGUAGCAAUGGUACCAGGCAUCCUCGUCUUUUUCCUGAUCUUAGUAUGAAUUAUAUAAAUUUAUCCUUCAAAUAUGAUGUCUGUUAUAGGUUUUGAUAUAUGGCCUUUCUCAGAAUAGCAAAUUUCCUUCUAUUCUUUAUUUUCUGAGACUUUUUCAUAGGUAAAGGUUAAAUGUCAUUAGGGAAUUUUCUGCAUCUAUUUAGAACACAGUUUGAUUAUUCUCCUUUAAUCUGCUGUGUGGUGUGGUAGUUUAAGGAGAAUGGUCACAAAUUGUUUGACAGUCUUCCCUUUGAGAGGCGUGGUCUCUGUCCCCUCCCCUGGAUCUGAGAAGACUGAUUUCCUUGACCAAAAAACGUGGUGGAAGUGAUGUUGGGUGACUUCCGAGACAAGUCAGUGAGUCCACUGAUUUCCUGGGUUCCUCAUCUGGGGGAAAACGGCUGCUGUGUUGGAGGUUUGAGGCCACCACGUUCCAGAGACCAAUGUAGGCCCAUGGGUUGAGCCCCCAGCCAACCAGCAGGGCCACCAGCAACGAGAGUGAACCAUCUUAGGAGCUGGACCUCGUCAGGCCUCCAGAUGGCACCACAUGGGUGACCCAAGCAGAACUGCCCAGUGUUCCCAGAUGUCUGACCCAUGAAGUCCAGAGCCAUGCAGGCCGGUGAGUGUGGGCAGCUAGUUCUGCACUAGUGGUCAUGGAAGGUGCGGCUGAUUCACUGGCAAAUCUUCUCAUGUCCGUGAUCCUUGUGUUCCUGGGGGGGUUCGUUUUCUUGUCCAUCACCUGGGAUGUGGAUAGCUCUGUUUAUUUCUCGGCAUCUUCACAUUUACACUCACACUGAGAUGGCCCACGCUCCCUCUCCGCUUCCUUUCUGCCGGUGCAUCACUCAGAUCUCCUCCACGAGCGCUCGCUGAAGGAGCACAGCUGACCCACAGCCCCGGUGCCGCCCCUUUGGGCCAUGGCUGCUUCACACUUCGGACACGCUGCCGCGGUUCCUCCCAUGAGGAUGGAGCACGUCAGAGGACUCGUCCAGCCCAGGCCUCCUCUAGAGCACCAUGUGCUUGGGUCCCUCGGCCUGUCCACAGCACGUCCUCACCUGCAGUGCGUCCGACGUGCUUCCUGCCAGUCCUCGCCCUCGUCUCACGAGUGUUAGCCCUGUGUGUGUCUGAAGCUCUCUCUGCUCCUUCUCCCCCUUGUUAGGUGAAGUGUGUCCCCCAGAAUUCCAUAUGUUGAGUCCUAAUGCCCAGUGCUCAGAUGGUGACAUCGGAAGAAGGGUCAUUCAGACGUGAUUGCUUAAGAUGAGACAAGGUCAUACUGGAGCAGGGCGGGUCCCUAACCAAAAAUGACUGAUGUUCCUAUAAAAAGGGGACACAGACAUGCACAUGGGGAGACGCUGUGUGAAGAUGAAGGCAGAGUGGGGUGAGGCAUCCACAGCCUAGGAGCACCGAGGAUUGCCAGCAGCCACCAAGCUAGAGGAGACACGGAACAAAUUCCUCCUCACGGCUUCGGAAGGAACCAACCCUGCCGACACCGUGAUCUUGGGCUUCCAGCCGCCAGAACUCUGAGGUGAUACGUUUCUGGGGUUUAAGCCCCAGUCUGUGGUGUCUUGUUACAGCAGCCCUGGCAGAUGAACACACUCUUCAUCUCUCACAGACACUCCCCCCAGUCAGGCCCUCGUGUUUCUGAUCCCUUCUUGCAUCUGCCUCUCUGAGGACCUACACGGAUCCAUUGACCUAAAGCCACUCUAAGAUGUUUUAUUAUAUUAGAGACAGCAGAUAAUCAUGGAUUGCCUGAAGAACGUCCCCACAGAAAAGCUUCAGAGGACAGUAAGUAAAAGUAAAGGUAAUUUCUGGUGACAUCUCAUGAGUCCUGCUCAUCUAGUGUGCUGCUGGGGAACAUUUAGGGGCAGGAAAAUUUUUUUUCUGCUUGAGACCACUAACCUGAAGAAAAACUAUGGAAAAAUAUAAUGCCC
This is an RNA transcript of Diceros bicornis minor, 3798 nucleotides long. It is a transcript of the gene named glutamate rich 1, with no coding region annotated. The record is from RefSeq and is a predicted model, not a curated record. The transcript is spliced from 7 exons. Lineage: Eukaryota; Metazoa; Chordata; Mammalia; Perissodactyla; Rhinocerotidae.